UUGGACUAGGGUGUUUAUUGAGUUGUAAUUGUUGUGUCACUCUAAGCUUUUAAGCGUGAGUGCUGUGUUUCUUGACUAAAGAUUUUAAGCACAAUCAAGAGUUGUUUGAAGUAUAUCUUCACCACUGACUUUAAAAUUAUUAAAGGUUGUAAUUACUGUUGUGAUUGAGGGGGAGUGAGUAGGAACUCAGGUCUUAGUGUAGAUUGAAAUUGCAUUGGGUAGGUCUUAAGUGAUAGGAUUAAACCGGUGGUUUAAGUCCUGAAUUAAUACCUCUUAUAGUGGAUUUCCUCCCUGG
Molecule: long non-coding RNA, 295 nt
Filed under: Lathyrus oleraceus (garden pea)
Lineage: Eukaryota; Viridiplantae; Streptophyta; Magnoliopsida; Fabales; Fabaceae
Description: Pisum sativum (pea) long non-coding RNA (PSAT_LNC003715)
Source: RNAcentral